This 568-nucleotide long non-coding RNA is filed under the name Panax ginseng (ginseng). RNAcentral describes it as "long non-coding RNA (PGIN_LNC009514)". Lineage: Eukaryota; Viridiplantae; Streptophyta; Magnoliopsida; Apiales; Araliaceae. The record is from RNAcentral.
GGUAUUUUCGUCAGACGUACAAAAUCAAGUGCGUUAACGUAUCCGAACCGGUACCGAAUUUUAUAAUGGGAUGAAGUAUUGGUAACCUUUAAUUUUGUAUUUUUCUCAACAAAGUGAAUACAAAAACUAAGCAUAAAUAUAAAUAAAUAUGUUUAAUUUUGUUAACAAUUUUUUGAGGCGUCUUCCAAACACUCGUCUUUGGUAUCAAAGCAGUCGUAACAGUCGCACCAUAGGCGGGCAGCAUCUGCAUAUGUGCAAAUUAUAUUCUUCUCCUCCAUUAUAUAUGCAUAUGCAUGCUUUGAAAUCUCAUCAUCAUUAAUAUUAAUCUCGGUUUUGCCACUAGUAGUUUUACCUGCGUAUAUAUAUAUAUAUAGCCAUAGCCAUAGCCAUAGCCAUAGCCAUAGCCAUAGCCAUGGUAGAUAAGAUGAACAAUUAGUGGUAGGUAGGUAGGUAAGGUGUAAAUAAAUAAGGUUAUAAUUAAGAUCGAUAGAAUAGAGAGAAACUUACAUUCAACAACACCCAAGAGUGCAGUAGCGAUGAAGAGGAUACAAAAGAGAGCCAAUAUUUG